AAGACCCUGCACUUUUGGAGCGGCCGAUGUCUGAUUAGCUAGUUGGUGGGGUAAUGGCCUACCAAAGCUUCGAUCAGUAGCUGGUCUGAGAGGACGGCCAGCCACACUGGGACUGAGACACGGCCCAGACUCCUACGGGAGGCAGCAGUGGGGAAUUUUGGACAAUGGGCGCAAGCCUGAUCCAGCCAUGCCGCGUGAGUGAAGAAGGCCUUCGGGUUGUAAAGCUCUUUCAGCCGGGAAGAAAAGGUUGCGACUAAUAAUCGCAAUUCAUGACGGUACCGAAAGAAGAAGCACCGGCUAACUACGUGCCAGCAGCCGCGGUAAUACGUAGGGUGCGAGCGUUAAUCGGAAUUACUGGGCGUAAAGGGUGCGCAGGCGGUUUUGUAAGUCAGAUGUGAAAUCCCCGGGCUUAACCUGSGAACU
Molecule: ribosomal RNA, 423 nt
Filed under: uncultured bacterium
Lineage: Bacteria
Description: bacterial SSU rRNA
Rfam family: Bacterial small subunit ribosomal RNA
Source: RNAcentral